This 440-nucleotide ribosomal RNA is filed under the name uncultured bacterium. RNAcentral describes it as "partial 16S ribosomal RNA". It matches the Rfam family "Bacterial small subunit ribosomal RNA", at positions 338 to 795 of the family's 1533-position model. The record is from RNAcentral.
CCUACGGGCGGCAGCAGUGGGGGAUAUUGCACAAUGGGGGAAACCCUGAUGCAGCAACGCCGCGUGAGUGAAGAAGUAUUUCGGUAUGUAAAGCUCUAUCAGCAGGGAAGAGAAUGACGGUACCUGACUAAGAAGCCCCGGCUAACUACGUGCCAGCAGCCGCGGUAAUACGUAGGGGGCGAGCGUUAUCCGGAUUUACUGGGUGUAAAGGGAGCGUAGACGGGUGGUCAAGUCUGAAGUGAAAGCCCGGGGCUUAACCCCGGAACGGCUUUGGAAACUGCGCAGCUAGAGUGCAGGAGAGGUAAGCGGAAUUCCUAGUGUAGCGGUGAAAUGCGUAGAUAUUAGGAGGAACACCAGUGGCGAAGGCGGCUUACUGGACAGUAACUGACGUUGAGGCUCGAAAGCGUGGGGAGCAAACAGGAUUAGAUACCCCAGUAGUC